This 1444-nucleotide ribosomal RNA is filed under the name uncultured Microbacteriaceae bacterium. Its description in RNAcentral is "bacterial SSU rRNA". It matches the Rfam family "Bacterial small subunit ribosomal RNA". The record is from RNAcentral. Lineage: Bacteria; Bacillati; Actinomycetota; Actinomycetes; Micrococcales; Microbacteriaceae.
GAUGAACGCUGGCGGCGUGCUUAACACAUGCAAGUCGAACGAUGAAGCUGGAGCUUGCUCCGGCGGAUUAGUGGCGAACGGGUGAGUAACACGUGAGCAAUCUGCCCUUGACUCUGGGAUAACUGCGGGAAACUGUAGCUAAUACCGGAUACGACGCCUUGGGGCAUCCCACGGGCGUGGAAAGAAUUUCGGUCAAGGAUGAGCUCGCGGCCUAUCAGCUAGUUGGUGAGGUAAUGGCUCACCAAGGCGACGACGGGUAGCCGGCCUGAGAGGGUGACCGGCCACACUGGGACUGAGACACGGCCCAGACUCCUACGGGAGGCAGCAGUGGGGAAUAUUGCGCAAUGGGCGAAAGCCUGACGCAGCAACGCCGCGUGAGGGAUGAAGGCCUUCGGGUUGUAAACCUCUUUUAGCAGGGAAGAAGCGAAAGUGACGGUACCUGCAGAAAAAGCACCGGCUAACUACGUGCCAGCAGCCGCGGUAAUACGUAGGGUGCAAGCGUUAUCCGGAAUUAUUGGGCGUAAAGAGCUCGUAGGCGGUUUGUCGCGUCUGCUGUGAAAAUCUGAGGCUCAACCUCGGACUUGCAGUGGGUACGGGCAGACUAGAGUGCGGUAGGAGAGAAGGGAAUUCCUGGUGUAGCGGUGGAAUGCGCAGAUAUCAGAGGAACACCAAUGGCGAAAGCACUUCUCUGGGCCGUAACUGACGCUGAGGAGCGAAAGCGUGGGGAGCGAACAGGAUUAGAUACCCUGGUAGUCCACGCCGUAAACGUUGGGCGCUAGAUGUGGGUCACAUUCCACGUGAUCCGUGUCGCAGCUAACGCAUUAAGCGCCCCGCCUGGGGAGUACGGCCGCAAGGCUAAAACUCAAAGGAAUUGACGGGGGCCCGCACAAGCGGCGGAGCAUGCGGAUUAAUUCGAUGCAACGCGAAGAACCUUACCAAGACUUGACAUAUUCAGGAAAACUGCAGAAAUGUAGUCCCCCGCAAGGGUCUGUUUACAGGUGGUGCAUGGUUGUCGUCAGCUCGUGUCGUGAGAUGUUGGGUUAAGUCCCGCAACGAGCGCAACCCUCGUCCUAUGUUGCCAGCACGUUAUGGUGGGAACUCAUGGGAGACUGCCGGGGUCAACUCGGAGGAAGGUGGGGAUGACGUCAAAUCAUCAUGCCCCUUAUGUCUUGGGCUUCACGCAUGCUACAAUGGCCGGUACAAAGGGCUGCAAUACCGUAAGGUGGAGCGAAUCCCAAAAAGCCGGUCUCAGUUCGGAUUGAGGUCUGCAACUCGACCUCAUGAAGUCGGAGUCGCUAGUAAUCGCAGAUCAGCAACGCUGCGGUGAAUACGUUCCCGGGCCUUGUACACACCGCCCGUCAAGUCACGAAAGUCGGUAACACCCGAAGCCGGUGGCCUAACCGUAAGGAAGGAGCCGUCUAAGGUGGGAUUGGUGAUUGGGACU